Molecule: non-coding RNA, 45 nt
Filed under: Schistosoma mansoni
Lineage: Eukaryota; Metazoa; Platyhelminthes; Trematoda; Strigeidida; Schistosomatidae
Source: RNAcentral
GCACUGCUGUGGAGUCCCAUAAUAGAACGAACGGCCGUCCAGUGC